CACUGGCCCGAUGAUGGUGGGUUAUCAGAACUUAUUAACAUCAGCAUCACUGAAGUUGGUAUACAACUCCCCACUGCUAAAUUUGACUGGCUUUAA
Cercocebus atys (sooty mangabey) is the source of this 96-nucleotide unclassified non-coding RNA. It matches the Rfam family "Y RNA". From Rfam's summary of the family: Y RNAs are components of the Ro ribonucleoprotein particle (Ro RNP), in association with Ro60 and La proteins. The record is from Ensembl. NCBI's taxonomy places the organism in Eukaryota, Metazoa, Chordata, Mammalia, Primates, Cercopithecidae.